GUGUGAAGGUUAGAUAAGCUUUUUUAAGCUUGAAGGUUACAUUCAAAGUGAAGGUACCUUUGCAGACCUUUGUCCCUUUGCCUUUGGUUUAUAAGGGUACUUCCAAAAGUUUUCCAAAGAAACCAGAAUUAAAAGGUAAGUUAUUUUGGUCCUUUUUUUGACCCAGGCAAAUCUGUUUUUAUAACAUCCUUUCUCAUGAACUUCUUGAAGAACCCUCAUAUAGUAUAAGUCUAAUUAUACUUUUCCUGGAAUUCAACUUGCAAAAGUUUAUUAUUGGCUAAAGCCAAUCAAUAUGCCGUAUUUAACUUGCUGUUCAAUUCUCCAUACUCCCUUGUUACUUGUGAAGCUUCUUCCAAACUUUGUGUCAUCAUCAUUACUGACUUUCUCAUUUCUUAUUUUUGCUCGUAUUCCUAAGAGACUCAUGGCUGCCAAAGAAAACCAGAAAAGCAUGUUGACUGAGGGAGCUCUUCUCAUGCCUGUGAUCUCAGAGCUGCUCCCUUCUCCAUCCCAACUGAUGUGUUUUAAGUGGACCUGACAUUUCCUGAUUGGAGGAGUGGCCAGGUGAGACAUGUACAUAGUGAGUUCUAGUUUAUCAGUUUGUUGACCAUAGUUGUUGCUCAGCAAUUCCUACCUACCCCAAAUAAGUUGAUUAUGUACCCUCAGAUCUACAACUAUCUGAGUUUUGCUUGUUUGUUUGAGGGACAUAAAUAGAGCAAAUCUCUUUUUCCAGGACAUUAGUUCACAGUAUGAUUCAAAGUUAUGGGCAGAAAUUAUGUUAUCACAUUUGCUAGAGUGAUGUGGUGAGCCAGAAGUUGGAAAUGACCAGGUCUAAGAGAGAGAGGUCAGACCUCUGGAUCAAGUUCACCAAAGUUAAUGGAUGCUUCAUUUGUGAAUCAGUUCCUUUUUAUUGUUUAAUUCUGUUUUAGCUUAGUUUUCUAUCUUUACAAUCAAAAAAAGAACAGGUCAGGUAAUUUUGGCAGAUUAAAGAUGGCUACAGAUCUGUUGAUACUCCUUUGUUGACAGAUUGAAUCUUGGAUCCCUCAUCUUGAAUCUUGGGGGGCUCAAUUACUGUUAUACUGAAUAUUAAAUGGUGGAAGAAAGAUGGCACCAGUUUCUGGGUUCAUACUUUAAGACACCAGCAGAUUCCAUAUCCUUUCUCUUGGAACACAUUCCCUGGGUGCUCUGAGAUACAUGGAAAAAGUCUAGCACCCUGCUACAUAAAACAGACUAUGUAUAAGUGCUUUGGUUAAUAUUCCUAGCUGUUCCCAGACUUCCAUCCAAGAUGCUGGGCAUGUGAUUAAAGCUAUCUGGGACUCUCCAGACUGGCUCAUCCAUUGGGGGUCCAUUCAAUUAGAGAAAAUAAGUGGCUUAAAUACCACAAAAUGACCUU
Molecule: long non-coding RNA, 1390 nt
Filed under: Oryctolagus cuniculus (rabbit)
Lineage: Eukaryota; Metazoa; Chordata; Mammalia; Lagomorpha; Leporidae
Description: lncRNA (ENSOCUG00000031834.1)
Source: RNAcentral